AGUGAACGCUGGCGGUAGGCCUAACACAUGCAAGUCGAACGGCAGCACAGUAGGAGCUUGCUCUUACGGGUGGCGAGUGGCGGACGGGUGAGGAAUACAUCGGAAUCUACUUUUUCGUGGGGGAUAACGUAGGGAAACUUACGCUAAUACCGCAUACGACCUACGGGUGAAAGCAGGGGAUCUUCGGACCUUGCGCGAUUGAAUGAGCCGAUGUCGGAUUAGCUAGUUGGCGGGGUAAAGGCCCAUCAAGGCGACGAUCCGUAGCUGGUCUGAGAGGAUGAUCAGCCACACUGGAACUGAGACACGGUCCAGACUCCUACGGGAGGCAGCAGUGGGGAAUAUUGGACAAUGGGCGAAAGCCUGAUCCAGCCAUACCGCGUGGGUGAAGAAGGCCUUCGGGUUGUAAAGCCCUUUUGUUGGGAAAGAAAAGCAGCAGGUUAAUACCCCGCUGUUCUGACGGUACCCAAAGAAUAAGCACCGGCUAACUUCGUG
This 492-nucleotide ribosomal RNA is filed under the name uncultured bacterium. RNAcentral's name for it is "partial 16S ribosomal RNA". It matches the Rfam family "Bacterial small subunit ribosomal RNA", at positions 29 to 507 of the family's 1533-position model. The record is from RNAcentral.